Gopherus flavomarginatus (Mexican gopher tortoise) is the source of this 4153-nucleotide long non-coding RNA. RefSeq lists it as uncharacterized. Lineage: Eukaryota; Metazoa; Chordata; Testudines; Testudinidae. The transcript has 2 exons. The record is from RefSeq and is a predicted model, not a curated record.
CUCGCCCCGUUCCUUGGAGCGGCGACUCAGCUGCCCACACCUUGCAGGGAGGCCCCUCUGGCAGGAGAGCGUCAUUUGCGCCAGUGCCGGCAGCGGACACUCUCGUCCCGCUGCAGUCCCGGCACCUUCUGCAAGUAGGGUGACCAGACAGCAAGAUGUGAAAAAUUGGAAUGGGGGGUAAUAGAAGCCUAAAAAAGACCAAAAAAUGGGACAUCUGGUCACUCUAUCUGCAAGAGACUUGCAACGAGGUGUCCCGUGAAAAACCUGCGGUUCCAACCAGUGGGUUGCAAAGGUCAGUCUGCUAAUGUGACCUCCUAAAGGAAAAUAAGCAGUCCCAGUGAGGUGUGGCAGAACAGCCAUGUCGGGUCUGCCCAAUGGACCUCUGGGUCAGUAGCUGCUCUUCGACUUGGGUCAGUGCCUGAAGCCUCACAGGGAAUGACCAGAAACGGUCUAGCAGUGAGCUAUCCCCUGUCAUCCAGUCCCAGCUUCUGGCAGUCAGGUUUAGGGACACCCAGGGGCAUGGGAUUGUUUUUCUAGUUGUCUUGGUUAUUAGCUAUUGAUGCACCUAUAUAUGCUCCCUGAAUUUAUCUACUUCUUUUUUUGAACCCACUUAAACUUUUGGCCUUCACAACAUUUCUUCGCCACCAGUUCCACAGGCUGACUGUGUGUUGUGUCAAGUACUUCCUUGUGUUGGUUUAAUCUGCUAUUAAUUUCAUCAUGUGACCCCCUGUGUUAUGUGACAGUGAAAGUAGCACUUCCCUAUCCACUUUCUCCAUAUAGUUAAUGAUUUUAUAGGUCUCUGUUAUAUCACCCUUAGUCAUCUCUUUUCUAAGAUGAACAGUGCAAACUCUUUGUAAUCUUUCUUCCACAGGAAGCUGUUCCACCCCGCAUCAUUUUAGUUGCCCCUCUCAGUACUUUUUCCAAUUCUAUCAUCUUUUAUUUGAGAUUAGUGAUCAGAAUUGCACACAGUAUUCAAGGUGUUGGCCUAUCAUCGAUUUAUAUAAUGCAUAAUAUUUUCAGUCUUAUCUAUCCUUUUCCUAAUGAUUCCUAACAUUUAAGUUUUUUUAAUGCUGCUGCAAUUGAGCAGAGGUUUUCAGAGAACUAGCCACACUAACUUCAAGAUCUCUUUGUUGAGUGGUAACACUGAAUUUUGACUCCUUCAUUUCAUAUGUAUAGCAAGGAUUGCUUUCCAAUGUGCAUUACUUUGCAUUUAUCAACAUUGAAUUUCAUCUGCCAUUUUGUUGCUAGUCACCCAGUUUUGUGAACUCCCUUUGUAAGUCUUCAUGGUCAGAUUUGGACUUAAUGGUCUUAAGUAAUUUUGUAUUGUUUAGUAUCAGAGGGGUAGCCGUGUUAGUCUGGAUCUGCAAAAGCAGGUAUAUAUAUGCAGGCAAGCUAGAGAUAACUUAUCUCUAGCUUGCCUGCAUAUAUAUACCUGCCCCUGGAAAUUUCCACCACAUGCAUCUGACGAAGUGGGUAUUCACCCACGAAAGCUCAUGCUCCAAAACGUCUGUUAGGCUAUAAGGUGCCACAGGCCUCUUUGCUGCUUUUGUAUUGUUUAUAGACUUUACCACCUCAUUGUUUGCCCCCUUUUUCACCUGUUUAUGAAUAUGUUGAACACCACCAAUCCCAGGAUAGAUCCGUGGGGGACCCUUUUAUUUACAUCUCUUCAUUGUGAAAACUGAUCAUUUAUUCCUACCCUUUGUUUCCUAUUUUUUUUAACCAUUUACUGAUCCAUGAGAGGACCUUCCCUCUUAUGCCAUGAUGGCUUAUUUUGCUGAAAAGCCUUUGGAGAGGGACCUUGUCAAAGGCCUUCGGAAAAUCCACAUACACUAUAUCCGUUGGAUCACUCUUGUCCACAAAUUUGUUGAGCCCCUCAAAGCAUUCUAAUAAAUAGGUGAGGCAUGAUUUCCCUUUACCAAAGUGUUGAUUUUUCCCCAAUAAAUCGUGUUCAUCUAUUUGUCUGAUCAUUCUGUUCCUAAUUUCAAACCAAUAUGCCUGGUUCUGAAGUUAGGUAUACCAGCCUGUAAUUGCCAGGAUUGCUUCUGGAGCCUUUUUUUAAAAUUGGCAUUACAGUAGCAAUCCUCCAGUCACCUGGUACAGAAACUGAUUUAAGCGAUAAGCUACUUACCACAGUUAAUUUGCAAUAUCAUAUCUGAGUGCCUUCCGAACUCUUGGGAGAAUAUCAUCUUGUCCAGGUGACUUAUUCCUGUAUAAUUUAUCAAAACCACCUCUACUGACACCUCAGUCUGGGACAAUUCCUCAGAUUUCUCACCUAAAAAAUGGCUCAGGUGUAGGAAUCUCCCUCACAUCCUCUGCAGUGAAGAUUGCUGCAAAGAAUUUUAGCUUCUCCACAACAGAUUUGUCUUCCUUGAGUGCUUACUUGAAUCAGCCCCACUGAUUGUUUGGUAGGUUUCCUGCUCCUACUGUAUUUAAAAAAAAAAUAAUAAUAAUAAUCUGUUUGCCUGUAUGUCUUUUGCUAGUUGGUCUUUAAAUUCUAUUUCGAGCCUGCUUAGUUAUACUUUUACACUUGACUUGCCAGAGUUUAUACUCCUAUUUUCUUCCAUAGGAUUUUACUUCAGUUUUUAAAGGAUGUCUUUGUCUCUACUUCUUUUACACUGUUGUUCACCUAGGCCUGGUCUACACUACGCGUUUAAACCGAUUUUAGCAGCGUUAAACCGAUUUAACGCUGUACUCGUCCACACAACGAGGCCCUUUAUAUCGAUAUAAAGGGCUCUUUAAAUCGGUUUCUGUACUUCUCCCCAGCGAGAGGAGUAGUGCUGAAAUCGGUAUUACCAUAUCGGAUUAGGGUUAGUGUGGCCGCGAAUCGAUGGUAUUGGCCUCCGGCCGGUAUCCCACAGUGCACCACUAUGACCGCUCUGGACAGCAAUCUGAACUUGGAUGCACUGACCAGGUAUACAGGAAAAGCCCCGCGAAAUUUUGAAUUUCCUUUUCUGUUUGGCCAGCAUGGAGCUCUGAUCGGCACAGGUGACCAGGCAGAGCUCAUCAGCACAGGUAACAAUGCAGUCUCCUGAGAAUAGAAAAAGAGCUCCAGCAUGGACCGCGCGGGAGGUACUGGAUCUGAUCGCUGUAUGGGGAGAGGAUUCUGUGCUAACAGAACUCCGUUCCAAAAGACGAAAUGAAAAAAUAUUUGAAAAAAUUUCCAAGGCUAUGCUGGAGAAAGGCCACACCAGGGACUCAGUGCAGUGCAGAGUGAAAGUUAAGGAGCUCAGACAAGCCUACUAGAAAACCAAAGAUGCAAAUGGAAGGUCCGGGGCAGGUCCGAAAACAUGCCGCUUCUAUGCUGAGCUGCAUGCAAUUCUAGGGGGGUGUGCCACCAGUAUCCCACCCCUGUCCGUGGAUUCUGAGGUGGGGGUUGUAAUCUCAGCCAUGGCUGAGGAUUCUGUGGGCAGGGAAGAUGACGAGGAGGAAGAGGAGGACGACCUUGCAGAGAGCACACAGCACUCUGUCAGCCCCAACAGCCAGGAGCUUUUUCUCACCCAGAUGGAAUUACCCUCCCAAGCCACUAGCCCAGACAGUGAAGCCAUGGAAGCGACCUCUGCUGCAAAUUUUUCAAGCCUCCCUACUGCAUCCCAAAGGCUAUCUCAGAUAAGGCGGAGGAAAAAAAAGACAUGAGACGAAAUGUUCUCAGAAAUCAUGGAAGUGACCCGCAAUGAAAGAGCUCAUCUGAAUGAGUGGAAGGACGUGGUAUCAAAUUACAGGAAAGAUGCCAGUGAACGUGAGGACAGGAGGGACGCUCAAGAAGAGAGGUGUAGGCAGGAAGAUCAGCGGUGGCGGGAUGCAAUGCUUGGGCUGCUGCGUGAUCAAACUGAUAUCCUCCGACAUCUGGUGGAGCUUCAGGAAGAGCAGCACGGUCACAGAGUGCCACUGCAGCCUCUGUGUAACCACCCUCACUGUGCACCAUGUUCCAUAUCUUCCUCACCCAGACGUGUAAGAACGCGUGGGGGAAGGCUUCGUGCACCCGCCCACUCCACCCCCGUGGAUAGCCCAACCAAAAGGCUAUCAUUACAUUGAAAUGUUUUUAGUGGCCUUUUCCUUCCCUCCUAUCCUCCUCCCAAACCACACCCGGGAUACCUUGUAAGUUCUCUCCCUCUUUUUAUAAUGACUUUUUAAUAAAGAAUGCAUGAUUUUUAAA